UGUUUGGACUUGAUGGUUAUAGAUUGUGUCUAGAUUUGUUAAGUUGUUUCCAACACCUCGUGCCAAAUGAAAGCACAAUCUUUCUGAUUCAGAUGUCUGGUUAAUUAUGCUUCAUUUUUUCGUUAAAGAUUGGAUGGUUGCAUGGAUUGAUGGAGUUGGAGUUCAACCAAUAAUUCUAAUUUUUUGGACUUAAAAUGCCUUUUUCUUCUGUAUAAAAACUUUAGUAAGUGCUAUUGAGUUGACAGAAGUUGAAUACUUACAGGUUGUUUCACACUUUUUAAUAGUUUUACAUAUAUGAAUUUCUGUUUUUUGAAUUGCAGAAAGGAGGUGGAACUAUUGAUUUGGAGCCUUAUCUUACUCACUCAUCGACAACGGAGCCUACCCUCGCUCCCAUGGCAGUGGAACGGACAACGACUACUAGGGCUGCAACAUCAGUUGGUUUGGGUCUGUUUUGAGUUUAUUUUCAUUUAUUUGGCUAUGUUUUGAUAGCGAAUUUUGAUAUGUCAAUAUAAUGUGUAAUUGUUUUGGGUUGAGCUGGUAAUUAUGCUGGAUUAGAUUGGUUUGGUUUUGGUGCUUCUCUGAUGGAACACUGCUUCUUUUAGAAAUUUUGAAUGUAAUAUGAGACUACAUUUAGUUUAAUUGAACACUGCAUCUAGUCUAAUUACUAGAAGUGUGGCAUUUGGUUUGGUUUAUCCGAUAUUCUCCAGAAUUUCACUUGCAUCUGGUUUUGUUGCAUAUGUUUGCUUGCAUUUGAUGGCAGUAGCAGACUGUUUGGUUUUGUGACAUUUGACGGCAGUUUGGUCUGUUCUUGGUGUUGAUUUAAGAUUGCUCCUGUUGUGCUGAUGUUAAUUGCAGGUGCUGGAAUCAGCUAGGGUUGCUGGUUUAUUCAGAUAGUUGACUCAGGCGUUGUUACUGGUUAAUUCAGGUGGCUGACUCAAGUUGUUCAUUUAAUGUUAGGAAGCAAAUUAAGAAUUAAUGAAGUAUUCAUUUAACUAUAAUUAUUGUAGUUAUUUUAUUUCAUAACUGAAUUAUAAUCUAUGGUACUUGUGAACAAAUUAGAGAAUUUUUAUAUAUGAAUUAUAUAUAUGUGUGUGUAUGUACAUUUUGCUAUUUAUGUAAUAAUUUAAAGAAUAUAUUUCAAUUCCCACAAAAAAAAAUGGCUCCAAUUUCAAUAAUUCCCGCCAAAUAAUUAUUAUUUUUUAAUUUACCACCAAAAUAUAUCUUAAAGAAAUUUUAGUUAUUCUUGCUAGAUUUAACAAAAAUAAUUUGUAGGAUUAACAUUUAAUUAAAAUAAUUAAAUAAUUUUAUUAUUCCAAUUAAAAAUGUCAUGUUUAUACGAUAGACAAUAUUCAUGAAUGGGAAGUAUUAGUUACAUAUUUUUCCUUGGGAUUUCAGGCAAAUGAAAAAAAGAUUGAGAAUGAUUUCAAGAGGACAGGUGGAUGAUAAGUAUUCAUUUUUGUAUAUUUGGCUAGUGGAUUUUUAUGGUAUUGAUCUUUUUAAAAAAAAAAAAAAAAUUCAAUUAGUUGCAGCCCUAGAGGAAGAGCAGGCUGAUCAAAUUGAUUUGUCUUGUUUUUCGGGCAAUCUACGACACGAUGACUGUGAUAAUGCUCGUGACUGCUGGAAACUUUCACUUAGAAAUUAUGAGGAAAAAGUAGUAUCCUUCUUAUUUACAAUCAGUACAAGGAUCCCUUUUAAAUAGAGCAAUUAUAACAGAAAAGGAAACUAAUUAAGAGCUAAUAUUUGACAGCUAUCAUCUAUAUUUACAUAGGAAAGGAUCCUAAAAUAUCUCUAGGAUUAAGGCUAAAAUCAAGGCCUAAUUUCCAACACUCCCCCUCAAGCUGGUUUGAAGAUAUCUUCCAUAGCCAGCUUGCUAGUCAACUUAUCAAAUUGCUUCUUGUGCAAUCCCUUUGUUAAUACAUCAGCUAAAUGUUCAGUUGUUGGAAGAUAGGUCAUACAUAUUAUUCCAGUGUUGAGUUUCUCCUUGAUGAAGUGUUUAUCCACUUCUAUAUGUUUUGUUCGAUCAUGAAGAACAGGAUUAUGAGCUAUAGAAAUAGCAGCUUUGUUGUCACAAUAGACUUUCAUAGGAGUUGAGAAAGUAAAUUUCAGUUCUUCAAGAAUUCUUUUUAUCCACAUAACCUCACAGAUUCCAUGGGCAACAACUCUGAAUUCUGCUUCUGCACUACUUCUAGCAACCACAUUCUGUUUUUUACUCUGCCAUGUAACUAGGUUCCCACCAACAAAGGAACAGUAGCCAGAUGUUGAUCUCCUGUCAGUGACACUUCCUGCCCAGUCUGCAUCUGUGUAGACUUCAACUUGAAGAUGUCUAUGUUUUUUGAACAUUAGGCCCCUCCCUGGAGUUCCUUUUAGAUAUCUUAAGAUCCUGUAGACUGCCUCAAAAUGCUCUGCCCCUGGUGAGUGCAUAAACUGACUUACCAUGCUGACUGCAAAGGCGAUAUCAGGUCGCGUAUGAGACAAGUAGAUCAACUUCCCUACGAGUUUUUGAUAUUGUUCCCUAUCCUUUACUUCUUCAACCUUAGCAGGUUGUAACUUCAAGUUAGGAUCAAUUGGGCACUUUAGCCUAAAAUGAAGAUCUAUUAAAAAUUUCCCUGAUGUCAUGAUAUAAAACAAUAAAAGGUACCAACUUCAGCUUAAAUUCAUAUAAAAUUAAACCUUACCACAUACUGUAUUGAAACAAAUUACUCAUCUUUAUUGGUAACAUCAUCACCUUCAUAAAAUAUAUGGUAUCGUACAAAGUUCUUGCGCUGGGUUCGGGCAUCUAACAACGAGGACACAGCAACCUAUUCGCUAGGUUAGAGACCAAAGAGCCAACAGCAAAAUGUGCACGACGCAUGUCACUAUCAUGAAAACAACAUUCUUUUUUCUUUUUUUUUUUUCUCUCAAUAAUUUCAGAUAUAAUAUUUUAACUAAGUUUGUAACACUGUUGAUUGAAAUUAUCAAGUACGAAUGUGUGUAGAUUUUAACAUGUGCACUCAUAAUUAUUAUUGUGCAGUUUUAGACUUGGUUGGGUAUUGAGGUGCUAAAACUUUUGCCGUAAGAAAAAAAAGUUUUAAGUAUAAAAUAAAAGUUAAUAGUAUAUAAUAAAUUUAAUUUUUUUAAUAAUAAUUUUGAUAAAAUUAGAAAAGAUAUAAUAAAUUUUUUAUCAUAUAAGUGUAAAAUCAAAUCAUCUUAACUUUUAAACUACAACAACUAUAACAUUUUAACUGUUCAAUCUCAAUCCCAAAUAGACCCUUAAUUUAUAAUUAGAUUGUCACUAAAAGAUUUUAAGUAUGUAUUUUAGAAUUUAACGAAUACACUUUUAAACUACCUUUGUCAGAUGAAAUGUUGGGAAAUUUUUAUUAAGCUCCAAAAGUGUUUGAAAUAAAUUUAUGUUUUUAUGAUACCAAAAAAAAAAGAUUUAUGAACAUUUUUGUGAAGCUUAGGCGAAAAUUUUUGUUAGGCUCUAUUGGGGUAGAUGAGCAGCUCGGGCAGUUAAUUAUCGCCCAAAAAGCCCAACCCAGAUUACAACAAGCUGGGAUUUGGUUAGCUCGUUGACGGCCAUUUGGGUAUGCAUGAAUUGGGUGGAUGAUUAAUAAAUACGAUUUAUUAAUUAUUUCGCCGAUUUGAAUAUUCUCCUAAUUUAAUCUUUUCUAAUAUAUAAUAACGAGAUUUUGACAUGUGUUAUACCUGUGUUAUUUUAAUAAUCCAAUAGAUAAUAUCUACUUUAUUUUUAUCUUUCGUUAUUAAAUACAAAAACACUAAUAGAAAAAAAAAAUGACUUAACUCUUUUUAUAUUUUUAAUUUUUAUUUAUUUCCUUUUAUUGCUUUCCUAGCAAUGUUCAUCUUUUUACUCUACAACAUCCAUAACCUUAACUUUGGAAAUAAAAGAGAAUAUGCGAAAGUAUAAGUAGGAGAAAGAAUUCAUUGAAAUCAAACGAAUUGGGCAACGUUAGAUUUUUCUUUAAAAUUCUCAUGCGAUAUUAAUUAGUAGUAUUAUCGUUGCUGCCUGCCUACUUCUAACCUCAACCAAUAUAUGAUCAAUGCUUGAUUUGGUCAAUCUAAAUAAUUAUAAUUGAUGAUUGGAUAUUGUUGAAGGGCGGCCCUAAGGAUGAGAGAGGGGAAUGCGUGUGCAAGCCACAUGUGUGAAGAAAAAGAAAAAGGCAAGAGUGAAGAUGACGGCGAUUAAGAUCGUGUUUGAUUUCUUUUCCUGUUUAAUUUUAGUUAAUCUGCUGUUGUUAGUUCCAAAAUUUGAGUUAGCAACAAAAUGACAUGUUUUUGUGUUUAAUAAGGAAAAAGUAAAUAAUAGAUUUUCUAUAGGAUUCUUGGAAUGGAUUAGAUUAGACUAUGGAGAGAAAUAUAUUUGAGAAUAUUAGUGUUGAGUCAUUCUAAUGUCUUUAGUAAUAUAAUUUUUUAUUGAAAUUAGAGUGUUCAAAGUUAGUAAUAAAAAAUUCAUAUAACUCUGGAUUUUUUUAUUGAAUUUAUAUAACUCUGGAUUCUUUUUUUUUUUUUUCAACACUGAUAUGGUUCUGUUCUGUGUAUUUAUAUACAAUUUAAUGUUUACAUACAAGUUAAAUUAGAUCAAUUUAAUAUUUAUAUACAAUCCUUCAAGUCGUAACUCAAUUUUAUGGAGGUUUAUACAUCUUUCAACGAUCAAUUUAAUAUUUAUAUACAAACCUCCGCAUCUUUCAACGAUCUCAUCUGCUGAUUUUUUUGUAUUCCUGCUCUUUCACUUCAAUAAUUUUUUGUAUUAUUCCAUAUCUUUCACUUUAAUAACCCAAAAGCUUUCCUCUGUUUCAAUCGAAAGAAAACCCUAGCUUAAACUAAGCGAAAAUUUACAUAUUAAAGCUAAUUAGUACUGAAUUUUUUUUGGUGGUGCGACCAGAGGUGGAAACAGGGUAUGAAAAUGUGUUACUGGUGAGGUUGCUGCUUAAGAUGAGAAUGCAUUCUUUUCAAAAAUCCUUGGUAGGUGUUAUCUAAUUAUCUUUGAUGGAAUAUUAAAUGGCUAAAAAUCUGUCGUACGUUCAAAUUUUGUUUGUGUUUAGAAGAAUGGUGUUGACUGUAUAUUUGUUUGGAAGAAUGGUGUUGAUUGUAUAUUCAUUUGCUUAGCCUUUUGACAGACGGAUUUGGAACUGACGACAAAUGUGAUUCAAUUUACAAGGUUUUCGAGGGGCUCACAGUGGAAGGGAUAUUGAAGAACUGGUCUAAGAUAAAGCCUAUGAUGGUGAAAGAUUGGAGUGAGAAUAUAGAUGCUCGUUUUCAUCUUUUUGGCAAGGUCAGAGAUGAAUGGAUAGAUAAGGAUUUAUUUGACUACUUGGACUGGUGCUAAUAGGUAUUUUAGGCAAGCUUUUUGAGAUAACACUGAGCAAGUUAUACUACUAUUUUGCACAUGAUGAUCAAAACUCUCGAAAAGUAAAAUAAAAUAAAUUAUUAACUUUUACUUUCAUCUUUUGCAUAGCAAUCAAUGUGGUGCUUGUUCUGUGACAACUUUGAUAAUCUACUUAAUUAUUGGUUGGCAUUUGGACCAAAAAAGUUCUUAUGAUUUACAUGUUUUGUAGAAAUGCAUGAACCUUAAAUGUGCUGAUCAGGGAGUUUAAUUAUUGCACCUUGAAAUUCAUUUAUUGUUAACUAAUUGGCUUUCCUUUGCAUAAAGCCACUUAUAAGGCUUGAGUGGACGUCUUUAUGGGCAUAUUAUUUGUAUUUCUAUAUGCAUGCCUUUAUCAUUUAAUGUGCUGCUUGGAUUUCUUUAUGCAUGCCUUUAUCAUUUAAUGGCCAGCUCCCUCUCCUCUUUUGUAAUUUGAAUAGUAGUAUGGGCCUCCAUUUUACAAAUCUUUAACAUUUUUUGCUGUAAAUUAAUUUUUCUUCAAAUAUUUUGGAGGUCAUUGGAAUUCCUGUAGGUCUAUUUACCAGAUUUUAGUAUGUUUAAGGUUUUAAUUUUGCUUGGACUUUAAUUUUUCUGAAAGAUUGUAGUAUUGAUCCUUAAAGAAAGAUCAUGCUACUUCAAAUUAUUUUGAAGUGUUGCUAGUUAUAGCCUUACAUAUCAAAUUCCAUUUGUCUGGAAAUUUAUUGAUAGCUGUUACAGCAGCAUAUUUUAUGACUCUACUUCUUAGUUAUGUAAGUUCAUUAUGUUUAGGUCAGAGGCAGUCAGCUGUGGGGAAUCGAUAUAUACACAAAUGACUUUGAUCUUGUUGCUGGUAUGUGGUUCUAUGAUAAUUGUUCACAAUAAUUGUGUUUGCCUCACUGUUUUUGUUUUAUGAGAUCUAUAAUUGAUCUUGGGAUAUUACUUUCUAGUCCUCAUGCAAGCAAGUUACUACCUUCCCACUGCAUCUCCUCCUUUAUCUGCUAUUCAAGAGUUGCGUGCCAUAAUCUGGUGUUACCUCUGCAAGAUUGUGAAUAAAUAUAAUGCCUCUAAAUUUAUUUUAUACAUAAUGCUGAUGCUGAAUAAUAUAUUGUAGCUCCUGUCAUAUUCUACUUUGACUUUUUAUAUUCUGUUUCAUAUAAAAAUCUUAUUCAACUCUAGUUGUUCAUGAGCAAAUGUCACAUGUAUAAGCCCAAAUGAUGUUUAAAGGUAGCGCGGCUACCUUUAGUUUGAGCUUACAAUGGAUGAAAAAGAAAUUGAAACUGAUAUUUUACUGUUUUUCUGAUUUUUCAAAGUAUUUUAGAUCCUGACUUUUGUUUGGACUUGAUGGUUAUAGAUUGUGUCUAGAUUUGUUAAGUUUUUUCCAACACCUCGUGCCAAAUGAAAGCACAAUCUUUCUGAUUCAGAUGUCUUGUUAAUUAUGCUUCAUUUUUUCGUUAAAGAUUGGAUGGUUGCAUGGAUUGAUGGAGUUGGAGUUCAACCAAUAAUUCUAAUUUUUUGGACUUAAAAUGCCUUUUUCUUCUGUAUAAAAACUUUAGUAAGUGCUAUUGAGUUGACAGAAGUUGAAUACUUACAGGUUGUUUCACACUUUUUAAUAGUUUUACAUAUAUGAAUUUCUGUUUUUUGAAUUGCAGAAAGGAGGUGGAACUAUUGAUUUGGAGCAUUAUCUUACUCACUUAUCGACAACGGAGCCUACCCUCGCUCCCAUGGCAGUGGAACGGACAACGACUACUAGGGCUGCAACAUCAGUUGGUUUGGGUCUGUUUUGAGUUUAUUGUCAUUUAUUUGGCUAUGUUUUGAUAGCGAAUUUUGAUAUGUCAAUAUAAUGUGUAAUUGUUUUGGGUUGAGCUGGUAAUUAUGCUGGAUUAGAUUGGUUUGGUUUUGGUGCUUCUCUGAUGGAACACUGCUUUUUUUAGA
RNAcentral lists this long non-coding RNA (7270 nucleotides) under Citrus x clementina. Its description in RNAcentral is "Citrus clementina (C. clementina) long non-coding RNA (CCLE_LNC002767)". Lineage: Eukaryota; Viridiplantae; Streptophyta; Magnoliopsida; Sapindales; Rutaceae. The record is from RNAcentral.